Oryctolagus cuniculus (rabbit) is the source of this 119-nucleotide non-coding RNA. The record is from Rfam. Lineage: Eukaryota; Metazoa; Chordata; Mammalia; Lagomorpha; Leporidae.
GAGAGUCCCCAAUGACUUGAUAACCUUUCUCAAUUCUCUAGUAACCUCACUUGACCAGGCAGGGCUCUCAAUAUACCUCUUCACCAGUGGCAUGGUUUCUGAUUACAUCUGGUGUCACC